CUAAUACUCCCUCCGUCCGAAAAUACUUGUCGAAAAAUAGAUAAAAAUGGAUGUAUCUAGAACUAAGAUAUGUCUAGAUGCAUCCAUUCCUCCGACAAGUAUUUCCGGACGGAGGGAGUAUAUC
Molecule: non-coding RNA, 124 nt
Organism: Triticum aestivum (bread wheat)
Lineage: Eukaryota; Viridiplantae; Streptophyta; Magnoliopsida; Poales; Poaceae
Source: Rfam